RNAcentral lists this ribosomal RNA (471 nucleotides) under uncultured bacterium. Its description in RNAcentral is "bacterial SSU rRNA". It matches the Rfam family "Bacterial small subunit ribosomal RNA", at positions 355 to 825 of the family's 1533-position model. The record is from RNAcentral.
UGGGGAAUAUUGGACAAUGGGCGAAAGCCUGAUCCAGCCAUGCCGCGUGUGUGAAGAAGGUCUUCGGAUUGUAAAGCACUUUAAGUUGGGAGGAAGGGCAGUAACCUAAUACGUUGCUGUCUUGACGUUACCGACAGAAUAAGCACCGGCUAACUCUGUGCCAGCAGCCGCGGUAAUACAGAGGGUGCAAGCGUUAAUCGGAAUUACUGGGCGUAAAGCGCGCGUAGGUGGUUUGUUAAGUUGGAUGUGAAAUCCCCGGGCCAACCUGGGAACUGCAUUCAAAACUGACAAGCUAGAGUAUGGUAGAGGGUGGUGGAAUUUCCUGUGUAGCGGUGAAAUGCGUAGAUAUAGGAAGGAACACCAGUGGCGAAGGCGACCACCUGGACUGAUACUGACACUGAGGUGCGAAAGCGUGGGGAGCAAACAGGAUUAGAUACCCGUGUAGUCCCUGAGCGGGCUGGCAAGGCGCAU